This is a long non-coding RNA of Equus quagga, 368 nucleotides long. RefSeq lists it as uncharacterized. The record is from RefSeq and is a predicted model, not a curated record. The transcript has 3 exons. Lineage: Eukaryota; Metazoa; Chordata; Mammalia; Perissodactyla; Equidae.
UGCAGGAGGAGGGCAAGGGCCAGUGUCUCCCGUAGGAGCAGACCCAGAGAGAACGUCUCAAACAGAAAACUGAGAAACAGCAACACAACGUGCUGUGUAGAAAUACGGACACAAAUGGCAGAAGAAACAGAAUCUAAGUUAAAAAGAGCAGACAGCAGCCACGCUGGCCUUCAGGGACCAUGGCCUCUCCUGUCGCAUCUCCUUAGCUCUGUCACUGAGGCAGGAAGAAACCACAGGCAGUCCUCACCCCACCCUGCCCUGAAGAUGGCCACGAUCUGGUGACCUGCACCGCUGAUUAGCUCUACCCGUUCUGGAGCGCCACAUAAACGGGGCCCUACAGCAUGCACUGUCUGGUAUCUUUCUUGUAG